CAUGUCUUUUUGAUUAUAAUUUAAGGUUUGACCUGCUCAAUGAUUAUUUAAAUUGCCGCAGUAUCCUAACUGUGCAAAGGUAGCAUAAUAAUUAGUUUUUUUAUUGAAAGCUGGAAUGAAUGGUUGGACAAGAAAAUUUCUGUCUCUUAUUUAUUUUUUUUUGAAUUUUAUUUUUGAGUUAAAAAGCUCAAAUUUUUUUAAAAGACGAGAAGACCCUAUAGAGUUUUAUUUUUAAAAAUAAUUAUUAUUUUUAUUUUGUAUUUAAAAUUUAAUUUUUUUAAUAAUUUGGUUGGGGUGACUAAAAGAUUUAAUAAACUCUUUUAAUUUAAUAUCAUUGAUUUAUGAAUUGUUAAUCUAUUUUUUUAAUUAUAAAUUAAAUUACCUUAGGGAUAACAGCGUAAUUUUUUUUUAGAGUUCUUAUUUAAAUAAAAGUUUGCGACCUCGAUGUUGGAUUAAAAUUUGAUUUUGGUGCAGAAGCUAAAAAUCUAAGUCUGUUCGACUUUUAAAAUUUUACAUGAUCUGAGU
RNAcentral lists this ribosomal RNA (525 nucleotides) under Lampyridae sp. UPOL RK0373. RNAcentral describes it as "partial 16S ribosomal RNA". The stretch from base 389 to 525 matches the Rfam family "Archaeal large subunit ribosomal RNA", at positions 2542 to 2679 of the family's 2987-position model. Lineage: Eukaryota; Metazoa; Arthropoda; Insecta; Coleoptera; Lampyridae. The record is from RNAcentral.